GCCUCCCAAAAGGUAACGGAGGCGCUCAAAGGUUCUCUCAGUACGGUCGGAAAUCGUACGUAGAGUGUAAAGGCAAAAGAGAGCUUGAUUGCAAGACAUACAGGUCGAGCAAGGAUGAAAAUCGGACUUAGUGAUCCGGUGGUUCUGCGUGGAAGGGCCAUCGCUCAACGGAUAAAAGCUACCCUGGGGAUAACAGGCUUAUCUCCCCCAAGAGUCCACAUCGACGGGGAGGUUUGGCACCUCGAUGUCGGCUCAUCACCUCCUGGGGCUGUAGUAGGUCCCAAGGGUUGGGCUGUUCGCCCAUUAAAGUGGUACGCGAGCUGGGUUCAGAACGUCGUGAGACAGUUCGGUCCCUAUCCGUCGCAGGCGUAGGAAAUUUGAGAAGACCUGUCCUUAGUACGAGAGGACCGGGAUGGACGUACCUCUGGUGUACCAGUUGUUCUGCCAAGGGCAUGGCUGGGUAGCUAUGUACGGAAUGGAUAAGCGCUGAAAGCAUCUAAGCGCGAAGCCAACUUCAAGAUAAGAUUUCCCACCGCAAGGGUAAGACCCCAGAAAGACUAUCUGGUUG
This 568-nucleotide ribosomal RNA is filed under the name Clostridioides difficile. RNAcentral's name for it is "bacterial LSU rRNA". It matches the Rfam family "Bacterial large subunit ribosomal RNA", at positions 2285 to 2855 of the family's 2925-position model. The record is from RNAcentral. Lineage: Bacteria; Bacillati; Bacillota; Clostridia; Peptostreptococcales; Peptostreptococcaceae.